UUGGACCUGAUAUCAGGUAAGAUUACCCGCUGAACUAAGCAUAUCAAAACGGGAAGAAAA
Molecule: ribosomal RNA, 60 nt
Filed under: Pythium deliense
Lineage: Eukaryota; Oomycota; Peronosporomycetes; Pythiales; Pythiaceae
Description: partial 28S ribosomal RNA
Source: RNAcentral